AUUUAUAUAGUAUAAGUUAUUAUAUUUAACUUCCAAUUAAAAGAUCUAUAUUAUUAGUAUAAAUA
This 65-nucleotide transfer RNA is filed under the name Tenebrionoidea sp. 16 KM-2017. RNAcentral's name for it is "tRNA-Gly". The record is from RNAcentral. Lineage: Eukaryota; Metazoa; Arthropoda; Insecta; Coleoptera.